UACAGAGGGUGCGAGCGUUGUCCGGAAUCACUGGGCGUAAAGGGCGCGUAGGCGGCCUGAUAAGUCGGGGGUGAAAUCCUGUGGCUUAACCACAGGGCUGCCUCCGAGACUGUCGGGCUCGAGCACAGUAGAGGCAGGUGGAAUUCCCGGUGUAGCGGUGAAAUGCGCAGAUAUCGGGAGGAACACCAGUAGCGAAGGCGGCUCGCUGGGCCACACCUGACGCUGAGACGCGAAAGCGUGGGGAGCAAACAGG
Molecule: ribosomal RNA, 253 nt
Filed under: uncultured bacterium
Lineage: Bacteria
Description: partial 16S ribosomal RNA
Rfam family: Bacterial small subunit ribosomal RNA
Source: RNAcentral